RNAcentral lists this ribosomal RNA (435 nucleotides) under uncultured bacterium. Its description in RNAcentral is "bacterial SSU rRNA". It matches the Rfam family "Bacterial small subunit ribosomal RNA", at positions 355 to 804 of the family's 1533-position model. The record is from RNAcentral.
UCGGGAAUUUUGGGCAAUGGGCGAAAGCCUGACCCAGCAACGCCGCGUGAAGGAUGAAGUAUUUCGGUAUGUAAACUUCGAAAGAAUAGGAAGAAUAAAUGACGGUACUAUUUAUAAGGUCCGGCUAACUACGUGCCAGCAGCCGCGGUAAUACGUAGGGACCAAGCGUUGUUCGGAUUUACUGGGCGUAAAGGGCGCGUAGGCGGUGUGUCAAGUCAGUUGUGAAAUCUCCGAGCUUAACUCGGAACGGUCAACUGAUACUGUCACACUAGAGUACAGAAGGGGCAAUCGGAAUUCUUGGUGUAGCGGUGAAAUGCGUAGAUAUCAAGAGGAACACCUGAGGCGAAGGCGGGUUGCUGGGCUGAUACUGACGCUGAGGCGCGAAAGCUAGGGUAGCAAACGGGGAUUAGAUACCCACGUAGUCCCUGAGCGGGC